AUUUUGGGGAGACCAGCUGGGCCUGCGUCCUUCCCCUGUCCCAGCCCUUUCUUUUGCCCCUCCCAGUUCUUAAAGCCCUUCGAUCUUCUGAUCGCAAGCGUCCAACGAAGAAUGGGAAGCUCGCAGUCCAAGUCCGGCCCUCUCCUCUUCUGGUCAUCAUAUCAUAGGUCACGCAGCAGUGAGCUUAGACCUGUGUUCUAUAUGAUCCCUGUCAGUCGUCAGUGGAUAGGGAUAGCAGCAGCAGCAGCAGCGGCAGCAGUGGCCUGAGUUUGAGAGUAUGAAGAAGCAACAACUGGAAGAAUCUUUAAAGCAGCCAGCAGUUGAUGAUGUUGACUGCGGAAAAGAAGCUGUCACAUAGCAGCCAUGCAUGAACCGACCAACCUGCCGUAGAGAAGAAUCAUAGGAAAAUAAUAAGCCAGCAUUAAUGGAAGAAAUUAAACAGUUCCAGGUCUAAAAGAUGAAGUGCAGCAGAAUCACAAGUGCUGAAACACCAAAUCCUAUUGUCGAAGGUGCGAAACAGUCUGCAAACAAAAUGGUGGAGGUUGCUGAAUUUAUAGAAAAAGGUAUAUAAAAAUGCCAAAAAUUGGCAAAUACAAAAACCAUGAGUUCAUCACAUCCUUCUCUCCUCUAUAUCAUGAUGAUUCGAGCUUCGUCUUCGAAAGAAGAAGGUAAAGGUAAGCCUUUGUUUCAGGUACACAGUACUUGUCCUCUAGUUCAUUAAUCCCAUUACCCAUCUCUCUCUCUCUCUCUCUCUCUUUAUGUAAUAUAUAUAUAUAUAUAUAUAUAUAUAUAUAAAUAUCAUAGGUCUCACAAAUAGGUGGAUCCCAUACAUUGAGUAGCCAUCUCCAUCAGCCACAAGGACAGUAGCUUCAAUCAGAUUACUGUCCAUGGAAGAAAGGCAAUGCAGUUGCUCCACAAGUCGUGCCCUAACAACAGGGCAUCUCUAGUGGAGGACCAUCUUUCACAUGGUGCAAUGACCAUGGCAGUAGCAAUCACAUGAUUAGCUCCUGUAACCAGCGAGGUAAGUAUUGAUUGACAUACAGAUACCAUACAUCUGUGCGGAUGAUGAUUUUUAGGACCGAAUUGGUUUGGAAGAAUGAGAUGCCGAGUGCAAAGUUUCUGACAUUUGCCAUGCACGUACGUAUUCAUGCAUAUGUUGAGGACGGGGUUACGUACCUCAUGAUGUGUACGUAACAUUUUAUGUUUAUAUUGGUGGGAAGAAGAAACUUGUCUGUGUUUUUUCUCUCCAAUCUGAUUCCUUUUCAUGUGUUUUUUCUUAUGGUUUUGGCUGGUCAAUAUGUACUCACUUUCCCAUUUAUAUAUUAAUCUUUUCUCUC
Musa acuminata AAA Group (dessert banana) is the source of this 1337-nucleotide long non-coding RNA. RefSeq lists it as uncharacterized. The record is from RefSeq and is a predicted model, not a curated record. NCBI's taxonomy places the organism in Eukaryota, Viridiplantae, Streptophyta, Magnoliopsida, Zingiberales, Musaceae. The transcript is spliced from 2 exons.